RNAcentral lists this ribosomal RNA (599 nucleotides) under uncultured bacterium. RNAcentral describes it as "bacterial SSU rRNA". The stretch from base 1 to 521 matches the Rfam family "Bacterial small subunit ribosomal RNA", at positions 338 to 873 of the family's 1533-position model. The record is from RNAcentral.
CCUACGGGAGGCAGCAGUGGGGAAUCUUGCGCAAUGGGCGAAAGCCUGACGCAGCAACGCCGCGUGCGGGAAGAAGGCCUUCGGGUUGUAAACCGCUUUCAGCAGGAACGAAAAUGACGGUACCUGCAGAAGAAGGUGCGGCCAACUAUGUGCCAGCAGCCGCGGUGAUACAUAGGCACCAAGCGUUGUCCGGAUUUAUUGGGCGUAAAGAGCUCGUAGGCGGUUCAGUCAGUCGGGUGUGAAAACUCUGGGCUUAACCCAGAGCCUGCACCCGAUACUGCUGUGACUAGAGUUCGGUAGGGGAGCGGGGAAUUCCUGGUGUAGCGGUGAAAUGCGCAGAUAUCAGGAGGAACACCGAUGGCGAAGGCACCGCUCUGGGCCGAAACUGACGCUGAGGAGCGAAAGCAUGGGUAGCAAACAGGAUUAGAUACCCUGGUAGUCCAUGCCGUAAACGUUGGGCACUAGGUGUGGGUUCCAAUCAACGGAAUCCGCGCCGUCGCUAACGCAUUAAGUGCCCCGCCUGGGGAGGUACGGUCGCGAGACUAACUACAAGAGUAGUAGACGNGNGAGACGCGACGACGACGACGACGGAGGAGGAG